ACCUACGGGAAGCAGCAGUGAGGAAUAUUGGUCAAUGGUCGGGAGACUGAACCAGCCAAGCCGCCUGAGGGAGGAAGGUACAGAGUAUCGUAAACCUCUUUUGUCAGGGAACAAAGGCGGGGACGUGUCCCCGGAUGAGUGUACCUGAAGAAAAAGCAUCGGCUAACUCCGUGCCAGCAGCCGCGGUAAUACGGAGGAUGCGAGCGUUAUCCGGAUUUAUUGGGUUUAAAGGGUGCGCAGGCGGUCUGUUAAGUCAGCGGUCAAAGCCCGGGGCUCAACCCCGGCCCGCCGUUGAAACUGGCAGU
This 305-nucleotide ribosomal RNA is filed under the name uncultured bacterium. Its description in RNAcentral is "bacterial SSU rRNA". It matches the Rfam family "Bacterial small subunit ribosomal RNA", at positions 337 to 640 of the family's 1533-position model. The record is from RNAcentral.